CCUCGGGAAACUGAGUAUAAUGCCCGAUAGAACACUAUACCUGGAAUGGUUUGUGUUCCAAAUGAAUGUCGCCGUAGGAUGGGACUGCGGCCUAUCAGUUUGUUGGUGAGGUAAUGGCCCACCAAGACUAUUACAGGUACGGGCUCUGAGAGGAGUAGCCCGGAGAUGGGUACUGAGACACGGACCCAGGCCCUAUGGGGCGCAGCAGGCGAGAAAACUUUGCAAUGUGCGAAAGCACGACAAGGUUAAUCCGAGUGGUUUGUGCUAAACGAACCUUUUGACAGUCCUAGAAACACUGUUGAAUAAGGGGUGGGCAAGUUCUGGUGUCAGCCGCCGUGGUAAAACCAGCACCUCAAGUGGUCAGGAUGAUUAUUGGGCCUAAAGCAUCCGUAGCCGGCUCUGUAAGUUUUCGGUUAAAUCUGUACGCUCAACGUACAGGCUGCCGGGAAUACUGCAGAGCUAGGGAGUGGGAGAGGUAGACGGUACUCGGUAGGAAGGGGUAAAAUCCUUUGAUCUAUUGAUGACCACCUGUGGCGAAGGCGGUCUACCAGAACACGUCCGACGGUGAGGGAUGAAAGCUGGGGGAGCAAACCGGAUUAGAUACCCGGGUAGUCCCAGCUGUAAACUAUGCAAACUCAGUGAUGCAUUGGCUUGUGGCCAAUGCAGUGCUGCAGGGAAGCCGUUAAGUUUGCCGCCUGGGAAGUACGUACGCAAGUAUGAAACUUAAAGGAAUUGGCGGGGGAGCACCACAAGGGGUGAAGCCUGCGGUUC
This 771-nucleotide ribosomal RNA is filed under the name uncultured bacterium. RNAcentral's name for it is "bacterial SSU rRNA". It matches the Rfam family "Archaeal small subunit ribosomal RNA", at positions 130 to 903 of the family's 1478-position model. The record is from RNAcentral.